Molecule: ribosomal RNA, 457 nt
Filed under: Escherichia coli
Lineage: Bacteria; Pseudomonadati; Pseudomonadota; Gammaproteobacteria; Enterobacterales; Enterobacteriaceae
Description: bacterial SSU rRNA
Rfam family: Bacterial small subunit ribosomal RNA
Source: RNAcentral
CUAGCUGGUCUGAGAGGAUGACCAGCCACACUGGAACUGAGACACGGUCCAGACUCCUACGGGAGGCAGCAGUGGGGAAUAUUGCACAAUGGGCGCAAGCCUGAUGCAGCCAUGCCGCGUGUAUGAAGAAGGCCUUCGGGUUGUAAAGUACUUUCAGCGGGGAGGAAGGGAGUAAAGUUAAUACCUUUGCUCAUUGACGUUACCCGCAGAAGAAGCACCGGCUAACUCCGUGCCAGCAGCCGCGGUAAUACGGAGGGUGCAAGCGUUAAUCGGAAUUACUGGGCGUAAAGCGCACGCAGGCGGUUUGUUAAGUCAGAUGUGAAAUCCCCGGGCUCAACCUGGGAACUGCAUCUGAUACUGGCAAGCUUGAGUCUCGUAGAGGGGGGUAGAAUUCCAGGUGUAGCGGUGAAAUGCGUAGAGAUCUGGAGGAAUACCGGUGGCGAAGGCGGCCCCCUGG